Long non-coding RNA from Fopius arisanus, 274 nucleotides. RefSeq lists it as uncharacterized. Lineage: Eukaryota; Metazoa; Arthropoda; Insecta; Hymenoptera; Braconidae. The record is from RefSeq and is a predicted model, not a curated record. The transcript has 2 exons.
CAUUAAAAUAUAUUUUAUCCAGAACUCGUCAGUCUUUCAUGUCUUGGGAGAGAGAAAAAAAAUUUCAAAAUGAAGACUCCAAUCGAAAACUCACUCGACACCCCCUCACCAGUCAUUUGCCACAUCAACGACUUCGAAAUCGCACGGGAAAGUGGUGGGUCGAUGGCUGACGAGUCGGUCGAUUGGAUUUUUUUUUUACUCACCUUUGGUUAUUCAACUCCACUUUUUAUUAUCAACAAUCAACACUUUCAAGGCGGAGAUAUUAUUAUAAUGU